GGCCGCUGGGUAGCUGUACGUUGUGUAUACCGUUUUCCGAAAUUAUUCUAUUUUUCCACGAACGUAUUAGUUCAUUAAUUUUUAUUUUCAUCGUUUUGGUCACCUGUGCGAUCGAUAUUUCAAUAACAUGGCGAACCGACGACCCCAGCAAAAUAACGGGCGGCGCAUUGACCGGCCGAAGACCUUCGGGCGCAGCGGAGUGUCGCCUUGGCAGGGCGCGGGCCCGGGCGGAGGCCUACCUAACCUCCUACCUCUCGGCGGAGGCUCCACGGAGGCUACGCUAGCCCUCGCUAGCAACAUCAUCAACUUACUGCAACCGCGACAAAACCCUGUCCCGUCUCUCCUCGACAUGCCUAUCAGGCGCGACUUUGGGCCCAAUAUGGGUCGGUUUGACCGUGGUUACGGUCCUAACCGGAUGGGCAAUCAAAAUUUCCGGCGUACGGGCAAUUACAAUCGCUCUGGUGAGCGCAUCAACAACAAUCGUAAGCCGUUCAGGCCCAAUGAUGGGCAAAGGCAACAAAACAAGAGCUCCCCGAAAAAGGAUGCCGAUUCUAAGGCUAAGCCUGUCAAGGAGAGCGAACAAGCUGAGAAAGACCAAGAUGGCAAGGACCAAUCUGAGAAGAAAGACGAGACCACCGAAGAGAAGAAGGAAGGGCCGAAGACACGAUAUGAUGACAUCAACUCUCAGCUGCUGAAGUGUCACAUUUGCAACAAGAGCAUGUGGGACGGACGUUCGUUCGAGAACCACCUGAGUGGACGGGCCCAUGCCAUUAUGAUGCAGAAGACUGCUGAGAGCUAUGCCCUGACGGCUGAUACCAUGAGGCAAGAGUUUAAGAUCCGCGAAAUGAAGCGGUCCCGCAAGACUGGCAUGCAGCCGACGCGCGACUUCUACUGCGCGAUGUGCGACAUGUACGCGGCCGACGGGGCGGCGCACCGCACCACCGUGGGGCACCGCAAACUCAAGAAGUACCUGCACCCCUCCUGCACCUGCUGCCACAAGGAGAUGCCCACCAGGAUCGAGCUGGACGAGCACAGGUUGACAGCUGAGCAUUUGAGGAACAUGCAGGACAAGCAGGAGGUUGUGGCUAAACCGAAACCUGAAGUGAUGGUGAUCUCCACACUGACGAUGGAGCAGUCUUACCUGCGUGAUGAGCGCCAGCGCGGCCGCCGCCGGGACGAACCUGCUGACAAGGACAAGCAGGACGACAACAAAGACGCUGAGAAACAGGAUGGUGAUGAAGUGAAAGUGAAGACAGAAGACCCCGACCAGGAGGGCGUGGAAGUGAAGCAGGAAGAGGAGAAGAAGACAAUAGACAAGGAGGGAACUAUCCUCGAUUACAACGAGGGUGAUGACCUCUCCGGAAUUACUGCCGAGCAGUUGCCUGUCUACAGCAUGGACCGCGGCGUGGGCCGCUCGUUCCUGUCGGACUUCCGCUGCAUCCAGUGCAAGCUGUGCCGCAAGCUGCUGGACACCGAGGAGACGGCCGAGGUGCACCUCAAGACGUGGCGGCACCACCAGCUGUUCCUCAGGGUGCUCAAUGAGAAGUCUGGUGCGCAACAGUCAACCGAGCAACAAACAUCAGAGAGUAACAACAAGCGGCCGCUGGACUCUGAGGAAUCCGGCAACUGGAAGCGCCGCAAGACCGAGGAAGAUGGCAACGAAGAACAAGAACACGAGCAGCAGAACGGACAUGAUGACAACGGUAUGCAAGAACAAUCCCACGAGGACGCUGAUGGUGACACUGAGAUGCCUCCACCAGAGGAGCUUGAAGACUGGGAGCAGUCCGUUGAUGAGAUACUGCAAGAUGAAAGUGUGGAGAUCAAGGAAGAGAAGCCCCCGACCCCCGAGCCGGUGGUAGAGCCCCCGCGGCAGGCGCCGCAGACUCGCAGCACCCCGCGCGGCCGCGGCCGCGGGCGUGGCCGGCGGUACUAGGGACCCUAUACCACUCACCGGCGAAUUUAUGGGCUUCUAUAUAUAAUUUCCAAUAUUACAUACCUACAUAAAUUCACGCCUAUUUCCCACCGGGGUACGCAGACUAACCUGCAUAUCAUCGCCUUAUGGUAAAUACCACAUAACCAAUUUGGUUUUCUACAACAAUACCUCGAUUUCUUUAAAUUUCAACAAAAAAUAAUUCAACAACAUGACAUAACAUAAGCUCACGACUACAUCCCGAUUAGAGUAGUCUGAUAUAUCAAGAUGAACUAAGCACUCACCUCGCCAAGCUUUCUGUUAGACCAACGUGAGAGUCGUCGGACGACGCUCAGUGGGUAGGCCCGCUACAAGGUGGACCGACGAUCUGGUGAAGGUCGCGGGAAGCCGCUGGAUGCGGGCAGCGCAGGACCGAUCGUAGUGGAGAUCCUUGAGGGAGGCCUAUGCCCAGCAGUGGGCGUCGUACGGCU
Molecule: unclassified non-coding RNA, 2400 nt
Filed under: Pectinophora gossypiella (pink bollworm)
Lineage: Eukaryota; Metazoa; Arthropoda; Insecta; Lepidoptera; Gelechiidae
Description: zinc finger protein on ecdysone puffs
Source: RNAcentral